UAUCUAUUCUAUCUAUAUCUUGAUUCUAUCAUAGUUUUUUUAUAAAUAUAUGGAAUAUGGGCAUAUACACAUAGAGUCAAUUGAUAUCUACAUUCCAAGUUCCCCUUUGGAUGUUUAGGUACAAAGUUCUAAAGCCAGAGUUAUUCAUACUUCUAGGUUUGUCUCUUUCUAACACUAACCUUCCAUGAGAUAUUAUACUCUAUUUCUGCAUGUAUCCAGAAGCAAUCUUAUAUUGAUUAGGUUGAAUAGUAUCUUACCUUUCUCAUGAAAAUUUGAGACUGGUCUGUAAACCAACCUUCUUCCUUAUGUUACUGGAUAGGUUUGAAAAUGAUAAUGUAUUUGACAGCCAAAGGAAAAUUAAAGGAAAUAUUACUCACAAAGCAGUUGAUAGAUCCUCCAACAUAUACCAAAUACACUAAGUAGUAGAGGGUUUCCAUGGAUUCAAUCAUUUCCAGAAAAGAAGGCUUCAUGACAUGUAAUGAUUACUUAGGAAGGUAAAUGUCAUCACUCUGAACAUCCACCCUUCCUGUAUCUUUCUUUAGCUUUUAUUGAUGAGCACAGAAUGAUGUGGCCUGGGAUAUCUGUUUGUUCACUUGGGGUGGUCUGUCUCCAUGGUGUCCCCUCCCAUAUUCUUGUGCACUUUCAGCUUACACUGGUGGGGUAAGGUGAGAAACAGAAAAGGCCUUGACUCCCUAUAAACGCUGCUCAACAAUAGUAGAAGUCUUGGUAUACUACCAGCACUUGUUUGGUCACAGGUGCUAACAAUAGGCCCACAGAACCUUCUAUGAAUAGAAGUAACUCUAUUCCACCCCAAACCAGGACACAAACACAAUCCGCAGAGAUCAAGGGGAUGUUGUGGUGCAGGGUACAACUGCUGUUGUUUUAGGAGACCCCUCUAUGGCAGAAAGACCUUUGCCCAACUCAUCAGUUGUCUGGCAUUUCAGAGCAUCAUACCUAUUGCAGAAGACACCAGUCCUACCAGUCAAAUUCUGAGAAGAAUGAGGAAUCUCGCUCCUGCUCCUUCACCUGGUGACACAGCUCCUCAAACACAGCACAUCUUCUGCAGAAGAACUGUUUGCUGGCCCCAGCCUUAGGAAGAGGCAUCAGGCAUUCUGUGACUGGAGAGCUCCAUCCUACCAUGGGCAGGUCUGGCUGGCUGGUGGUCUUGGACACAGCUAUUUCAGUGACUCUUGCAGCUACUUGGGUUGAUUUUUAGGGUAUGUCAACACCAUAACUCAGGAAGAUUAAUCUGGUAUGCCUGUAAGACUGGGGCUAAAAGGAUCUCUUUGCUCUUCCUUACCAGCUACUGAGUCUAUUGCUGCCUCUAUUGAGUCCUCUCCAAUGGUCAGAGAGGAGCCCUUGCUGCUCAUCCUGCCUGCACAAACUGCCCUGGACCACUCUCACCAAUAUGCCACAUGCCUGCUUGCCUUGCUCCAGGUCACUCACAAUCCCUGGAGUCAUUUAAAUCACCCUCAGCUGCUCCUGGCACCGCCCCCUCCUCACCUGAUCACCUGCCAAGGGCUUCCAGAUCGUGAUGAGGCUUGGGGCUGCUGGACCAGUUCCUGAACUUGGGAACUCCCCCUAUAAAGCUCAAUCGUAGCCCUGGUUCUUCAGUCACAGCCACUUGAGCUUCACCAACUGAGCUCUUAAGCUCUACCUUCUAAAGAGGAAACAAAAUUUCCUUUCUGCUCCUCUAGGACAGAAAGAGAUUUUUACCACUAUUUAUAAGAAAGUGAACUCAGUGCAUAGCAGUCAAUGUUGUGUUUGUGUGACAGCAACAAUGAGCUCAGAAAAUGUUUGGGGAAAACACAGAGGUAAAAUUGAGAAGCAGUUGUGUUAUUAGACCUAUGUGAAAUAGGACUCUGUGGAAAUGGCAUGAUGUAGAAAGGCCUGAGCAGCCCUUGCUACCAAUUUAGCAACAUUUUUAUUCUAGUGCAUGAUCUAGAGAUUAUAAUUAUGCCUAGUCUGUGUAACAUUGUCUCAUCCUUUGUGCCUACUUAAAAACCUUUUUAGCACUGAGA
Molecule: long non-coding RNA, 2021 nt
Organism: Cyanistes caeruleus (blue tit)
Lineage: Eukaryota; Metazoa; Chordata; Aves; Passeriformes; Paridae
Source: RefSeq, a predicted model, not a curated record